This 73-nucleotide transfer RNA is filed under the name Leifsonia sp. Leaf264. RNAcentral describes it as "tRNA-Asn". It matches the Rfam family "tRNA". Rfam says of the family: Transfer RNA (tRNA) molecules are approximately 80 nucleotides in length. The record is from RNAcentral. Lineage: Bacteria; Bacillati; Actinomycetota; Actinomycetes; Micrococcales; Microbacteriaceae.
UCCCCUGUAGCUCAAUUGGCAGAGCAUCCGGCUGUUAACCGGAAGGUUCGAGGUUCGAGUCCUCGCGGGGGAG